GUUAGCGCACAGUUCUGCAGCCACACUUGUGCUAUUUAAUGGGUGUAUGAUCCCCAGUGCCUUAGCUUCCUCCUCUGUAAAAUACAAGGAAAAAGAGUGUUCGCCUCGUUAAAUCAUGUAAAAUAGUGAGUUAAUGAAUGUAAAAUGUUCAGAGAAAGGCUGCGACCAUCUUAAAACACUUGACAUAGUUCAUACUGCAUAAUCAAACUAUGCCUUUAGCGAUUAGAGAGCGGAAGUUUAGUCCAAUCUCAAAAAUCAAAGAGCCGGCAAAAAGUGUAGCCAAGACAAUAGGAUUUUAAAUAGGAUAAUUCAAUACAAUGAAAUAAGAGGGUGCCCACAAUGAGUACCCAAGUGGAUUACAAAAUGUUUAAAGAAGACAAAACCCUGUGUGUGGACUUCAAAGAGGAGGGGUCAGUCUUUUCCUGUAGCUGAUGGCUCCAUAGUAUACCGAGCUCCAGGAAAGGGCUCUGGCAGUGCAGUGGCUAAAAGGUUAUCCUCAGUAGGAAGAGGGAAGGCCUGGUCUCAUCUUCUCUUUUCUUUCUUUUUGGCCAUUGUCCCCCCCAUCCCCCACCCCAUCACCCAUAAUCUUGAACAGUGUCAACAGUGAAGACCUUAGGACUAGCAGUCUACAGACCUAGGCUUUUGUCUUGGUCUGGUCUGCUGUAACCCAGUGUGACCCUUGGACAAGCCACUUGACCUUUUGGGAUCCCAGGAUCCUCAUUUAGAAAUAAGAAGGCCAAAUGAAAUUAUUUUAAGUCUCUUGUUGUGCUGAUUUUGUGAUUUUGCUUUGUUUCUUCA
Molecule: long non-coding RNA, 798 nt
Filed under: Marmota monax (woodchuck)
Lineage: Eukaryota; Metazoa; Chordata; Mammalia; Rodentia; Sciuridae
Source: RNAcentral